GGUGAACGCUGGCGGCGUGCCUAAUACAUGCAAGUCGAGCGAACGGACGAGAAGCUUGCUUCUCUGAUGUUAGCGGCGGACGGGUGAGUAACACGUGGAUAACCUACCUAUAAGACUGGGAUAACUUCGGGAAACCGGAGCUAAUACCGGAUAAUAUUUUGAACCGCAUGGUUCAAUAGUGAAAGACGGUCUUGCUGUCACUUAUAGAUGGAUCCGCGCUGCAUUAGCUAGUUGGUAAGGUAACGGCUUACCAAGGCAACGAUGCAUAGCCGACCUGAGAGGGUGAUCGGCCACACUGGAACUGAGACACGGUCCAGACUCCUACGGGAGGCAGCAGUAGGGAAUCUUCCGCAAUGGGCGAAAGCCUGACGGAGCAACGCCGCGUGAGUGAUGAAGGUCUUCGGAUCGUAAAACUCUGUUAUUAGGGAAGAACAUAUGUGUAAGUAACUGUGCACAUCUUGACGGUACCUAAUCAGAAAGCCACGGCUAACUACGUG
RNAcentral lists this ribosomal RNA (497 nucleotides) under uncultured bacterium. RNAcentral's name for it is "partial 16S ribosomal RNA". It matches the Rfam family "Bacterial small subunit ribosomal RNA", at positions 28 to 507 of the family's 1533-position model. The record is from RNAcentral.